CAGAUACACAUACAUACAGAGACAGAAGGUGUGGGUGACCGUGUGGGAGGGAGUGUGUGCUGGUGACAGCUUUGGGGGGCAGUGUGAGAGAGUUACAGUGGGCGGUCAGGGGGGAAAAAGGGUUACAGCGAUGCGGGCAUGGGAAGAAAGGGCUACCGUGGGGGGGGGAGGAAAUCAGGGUGAUAAAGGGUUACAGUGGAGGGGCAAGGAGAGCAAGGGUU
Non-coding RNA from Pelobates cultripes (western spadefoot toad), 221 nucleotides. The record is from the annotation of a GenBank genome assembly. NCBI's taxonomy places the organism in Eukaryota, Metazoa, Chordata, Amphibia, Anura, Pelobatidae.